Myxocyprinus asiaticus (Chinese sucker) is the source of this 9808-nucleotide RNA transcript. It is a transcript of the gene named NACHT, LRR and PYD domains-containing protein 3, with no coding region annotated. The record is from RefSeq and is a predicted model, not a curated record. Lineage: Eukaryota; Metazoa; Chordata; Actinopteri; Cypriniformes; Catostomidae. The transcript is spliced from 11 exons.
CAGACUGCAGUCUGGUGGAUGGGGCGGAGCGAUACAUUAUUUAUUUACAGAGCGUUUUGUGUGUUCCUAUGAGGUAAAUCUAUGAUAAAUUAGUUUAUUUUUGUUCCUAAAUGACCGAGACAUUUUGAAGAGUUGCUCUGACAAAGCAGCGUCAUUUAAAUAGACGAAAGAGCAACCAGCGCGAUGAAGACAUCUUAAAAAUAGACAUCGAAAUAGACUUCUUUCAUCGUUGAAAAACACCAGGAUUUCUCUUUCCGGACUCAAGAUUUAGACAUCACUGAUAGACAUAUCAGGAUCUUCAGCAAUGCAGCAAAGUGCCUCUGACAUUACUCUUGACAUGCAGGCGUUGCAUAAGGAAGUCUUAAGAAACUCUGUGCUCAACUCAACUCUGCCUAAUUCACUGUUAGGAGGUCAACCUGCACAAGACGUGAUCCAGAGAGGUCACUACACACCCCUCUCAGUGUGUGCGUUUAAGCACAACUUUGAUGAGGUGAAGAGAGGAGAUUGGGAAACUUUAGAAGAUGUCAUGUCUCGAGAAUUUCCACCAGGAUCUGAAGGACGUAGAGUUGUUCUUCAUGGUGGUAUUGGAAUGGGUAAGACUACAGCAGUUGAAAAGAUUAUUUGGGAUUGGACAUCUGGCACACGUCUGCAACAUUACACACUUUUGCUGCGGGUGUGUGUUGAGGAGCUGAGCACUCUUGGAGAGAAAACCGAUAGUUUGUGUAGCUUAUUGAUCCGCACACACUCUCACCUCUCCCCAGAGUCCCUUGUUCUCGCCCUACAGAGGCCUCAGUCGUUACUUCUUUUGCUUGAUGGGCUGAAGAGAUUCCCAAACUUACUAUCUGCUCCACCGCCCACCUCUAGUUUUAUCUGUGAUGUACAGCAUCAAGCAACUGGCACCGUCUUGCUGUACAGUCUGCUUCACGGCUCUCUGCUUCCAGACGUCUCGAUGCUGGUCACAUCCACAGAGUCAAUCAACCUCAAGUCAUUGAGGAGCUUUGAGAUCCUUGGGUUCUCCAAGACCCAGAGGAGAAUGUUCUUCCAGCAGUUCUUUGGUGAUGGAAGCCAAGCAGAGAGAUUUUUCUGGCACAGCGAGCAAGCAUUGGGAGUGUACGAGCAGUAUUUUUGUCCAGCUUUCUGCUGGACACUUUGCAGCGUUUUUAAAACUCAGUUUGAGAGUAAAGAAACCCUACCUGAAACUCUUACCCAUCUCUUCAGCAUUAUUACAAACAUGCUCCUGCAGAAACAGAAGAUGAAUGUCGAGCAAAGCAGAGAGCUUGUGUCUGGUCUGAGCAGACUUGCCUUUAUAAAAUCUACCAAGAGUGAGGUCAUAUCCUGCGGCCUGCUGUCUUUUUUGCACUCUCCAGUUCUGCCUGCUUUCCUAUGCAUCAAUGGUGAUGUCACUUCCCCUGAUACCACAUUCUCCUUCCUGUCUCCAGUGAUGCAAGAGUUCUUAAUGGCUGCCUCCUUUUAUAUUAACCAAUCAGACGUUCUCAAAGAGGCCCUGGAGGAGCGCACGGAUCUGUAUUACACUUUCCUUGCAGGAUUGUCAGACUCUGCCCAACGUAAGCCUAUUGAAGACUCCGUGGGCAGCUUCAACGAAAGCCGCAUCUCUGAGUUCUCUCAAUGGUUGGUGGGCACAGCUUCCGCAGUGUUGCCAGGUUUUGAUAAAAAGCAGCACUAUCGUGUCCUACGUCUUCUACUCCACACACGCAACUCCAGUCUGGUCAAAGAAAGCAUCAGCAAGUGCCCAUGGAGGCAUAGGAGUUACAGUGACAUGCAGGAGUCAGACUGCACUGCACUGUCAUAUGUAGUGAGUUGCGUGGGAGAGCUGGAACAUAUGAACCUGUACGGGGCAUACCUUACAGAUGAGCAGGCAGAGAGACUCCUGCCAGCAUUACGGCUGUCGAAGAGCAUUGGUCUGUCUCAAAGUCGUCUCAGUCUGGGUGCCAUCACUCACCUGGCAACAGCGCUGGCUAAGGGGCGAGCGACUGAGCUGGAUUUGUCCUACGCCAGACUGGAACAUGGAGCAGUCAAAAUAAUAUGUGAUUCACUCACAAACUCCACGCUGCAGUCACUAAUGUUUCGUGUAUGUUCGUUGACUGCUGCUGAUUGUGAAGCACUGGCUGGGAUGCUCUCUGGAGGCUCUAAGCUGCGUGUGCUGGAUCUGUUUGGUAAUGAUCUGCUGGAUCAAGGACUCAUUCAGCUGAGCAGUGUGCUGGGGAACUGCACACUACAUGAAAUCAAUUUGGAUCGUUGCUCACUGACGCAUGCGUCCAUGUCUGCAUUAUCGUCAGCUCUGACCAGUGGUUAUUCAAAGCUUAAGACACUAAAUCUGUCAAGGAACGCAGUGACUGAUGAUGGAAUGGACUGCAUCUCAAAGGCCUUACAGACGGCCCAGUGCCAGCUCAACACUUUGAACGUGUUUGACUGCCAGUUGACUGGCUCCUGCUGCUCCUCUCUGGCAGCUGCCCUCCAAUCAGAACACAGCAGUCUGACUGAACUGGAACUGUCCGUCAAUGAGCUCGGCCAAUCAGGAAUGCUAAUCUGUGAAGCCCUGAAAGCUCCUAAUUGUAUGCUGGAAAAACUGGGAAUGGCAAGAUGUGAGCUGACUGUGGAGAUGUUUCGAGAGCUGGAGAGUGUCUUGACAUCUGGCAUGUCACGGCUUGUCAGUCUCACUGUAGGACUGAACGCAGUGGGCGAUACUGGAGCCAAACACAUGUGGGGGGCACUAAGACACAAAAACUGCAAACUGCAGCACCUGGAUCUGGAGAUGUUGUCACUGACUGACGCUUGCGUUGAGGAGUUAUGUGAAUCUGUUGCUGCCAGCAGCACUUUAUCGACUCUCAGCCUGAAAAUCAACGGCCUGACAGACUCAUCUGUACCACAGUUGGUCAAAUUAAUGCAGGACCAUCCAAUCAUGAGCAACCUAAAUCUGCAGUAUAAUGACUUCAGUGAGGAUGUUUUUGAAUUGAUGGAAACCUGCCCAAAAAUCCGUUACUAGAGAAAAAAACUUCAAGUUGGGAACACCUGGAUAUUUAUUCUGCUAAAUAGUACUGGAACCUCUUUGAGAAAAUGACCAUCUUAACUCUUUUGCUUUGAUUUUAUCAUUGGACUGUCAUUAUUGUGGUUCUUAUGCAUACUGUACAACCCUUAAAAAGGCAUUUAAUUCAGAACAUCUGACUUAAAGAAAUGGACACUUGGAACUUACAGUUACAGUAUAAUUAUGUAUUUCACAGUACAUGUUGAGAACAUAAUUCCAAGAACUAAUCCACUCUCAGAAUGGACGGUAACAGCUUUGGAGGCACUUAGAGAGAACGGUCAGUUUGACAUUUGAUGUUUUUCUUCAGAAUAAGUAUAUAGCUGUUGUAUACAAAAUUUGAACUGAGAGCCAAUAAUGACAUGACCUCACAGUAUUAUUGAGCAGAGAGCACCCUCCAGAGGAGUCAUACAACUUUGGUUGCUCUCACUGUUGCACACACACCCUGCUGAAAAGCAUGCAUUUCCAUGCUUGUUCUUUGGUUGUUGAUCUUGCUGGUUAUGCUAUGCUAUAGUUAGCAUAGUUACGCUAUUCACUAGCAAAACAUGCAUGGUUGCUGGUAAAUCUGGUCCACCAAAGACAUUUUGCUGGUUAAGCUAGAUAAGCAAAAGUUCAACCCAAAAUGUAAAAUUGCAAAAUGUAGUAUACAAGUCGUAUGUACUAAUUUUAUGGUGAUUUUACAUCCUUUUUGGAGCAUGACCGCCCCUGAUCACAUUAUGCUUUAAAUUAUAUGGAAAACAGCAGUCUGGACAUUCUGCAAAACUUCUGCCUUUGUGUUCAAUGAAGAAAGAAAGGCAUAUGGGUGUGGAAAGACAUGAGGAUGUUAAAGUCAAAAUUCGAAGACUUGCUAAAAGACAGAGACAGACACACGAACAGAGUAAAAGUGGAACUUUGAGAACAUUUUCGGGGUUCGGUGGAGACACCGAACUUGCAGAGUUUCUUCUCGACAGGUAAGCUCAAGUUAGCUCAUUACUGUCGAGCUUCAGAUAAAUUCGUAAGAUAUCGAGAAUAUAUAUUGUUAUGCUUACUAUUUACCAGAAGAACUAUCCUGUGUGGAGAAUGUGAGAUUACCUCUGUAUCCAUGGCAACGCAAAUACGUCAUAUGAGAGACCGCUUGGACUCCAUGCUGUCCUGAAGGGUUGGAUUAUAGUUCUUAAGGAUUAUAAAGUGCAUAAAUAUUGAUCUUUUUUUGCACCAAAACUGUUUGUAUCGCUUUAGAAGACAUUAAUUUAACAGCAGGAGUCGUAUCAAUGAAGUUUAUGCUGACUGUCUGUGAUUUUUGGAGCUUUAAAAGAGAAAUCGCCAUUCACUUGCAUUUUAAGGACCUACUGAGCUAUUACAUUUUUAAAUUUUUCUUCAAAGGUGUUCUGGUGAAGAAAGAAAGUCAUACACCUGGGAUAUCAUGAGGGUGAGUAAAUGAUGAGAGAAUUUUCAUUUUUGGGUGAACUAUCACUUUAAUAAAACUAUAGCAACUCACGCAACAUUUCCACUGAUAACAUCUUAUUCACAAUUUCCAAUUAAAGCUGAAAUGUGUCAUUUUUGUGCCGUUGAACGGAACUGCAAAAAUAAACAUUGCAUAUUAAGCUGGGAUAGGAGAAAGUAUUUUAACACCAAAACACUUCUGUUGCCUCACCUUGCCAGUCUUGGCAAAGGCCUCUGCGAUUGCGACCUCCAUGGCAUGUUGUAAUGAGGUCAGCGACGCCGCAGCUCUCUAGGAAGGUUGCAGGGGAGACCGAGCCGGCAGUGCAGAACAAAGCUAAUCAUCUCUAUCAGACCCAAUCUGAUCACUGCAGCCUUGGUAUUGUCACCAAACCCUAGUCCAUCACAGAAACCUGCUCCUACUGCCACUAUAUUCUGUAACGAAACAAAGAUUGCGGCAGGUGUUAGUUUGUGUGGAGCUUUGUACUCUCAGUCAGAGUAUUCAAUAUGUUUACCACAUAAUAUAUGGCGCUCUUGUAUGGCCUGCAGGUGUCUGGAUGUGCAUGUGCAGUUAUUUGGGGAAAAUAAAGAAUAUCUCAGCUUUGUUGGUCCAUACAAUUGAAGUCAACAGAGUCCAAAACUUUGAAGCCCAAAAAAACAUAUAAAGGCAGCAUAAAAGUAAUUCCAUAUGACUCCAGUUGUUAAAUUCUUGUCUUCAGAAGCGAUAUGAUAGAUGUGGUUGAGAAACAGAUCCAUUUUAAAAUCAUCCUUUUUUCUUUUCUUUUUUUUACUACAAAUCUCCAUUUUCAGACAGUCCUCCAAAGCGUUCUUUUCUCCUAAGAGGAGUUCUUUUGUUUUUGGCGAUUCACAUUCUUCGUGCAAAUUGCCACCUACUGGGCAGGGAGGAGAAUUUAUAGUAAAAAAGGACUUAAAUAUUGAUCUGUUUCUCACCAACACCAUAUCAUAUAGCUUCUGAACACAUGGAUUUAACAACUGGAGACAUAUUGAUUACUUUUAUGCUGCCUUUAUGUCUUUUUUGAGCUUCAAAGUUUUGGUCACCAUUCACUUAAAGGACCUACAGAGCUGAAAUAUUUUAAUAAUCUUCAUUUGUGUUCUGCAGAAGAAAGAAAGUCAUACACAUUCUGGUAUGGCAUGAGUGUGAGAAAAUAAUGAGAGAAUUUUCAUUUUUGGGUGAACUAUUCCUUUAAACUGCAUGCAGUGCCAACAUGAAACAGUGUUUGCAAGCUAUUUUAAUUCUAUAAUAUUUUUUUAUUAUUAUUAUAAUUUUUGGGGGGGCAGGGCUAGAUUUAUCCACUGGGAAUUGACUGGAUAAUGAAAAGUGGUCUCUAUAUGAUAGGUGGAUGUAGGGGAGGAGUUGAUGUCAUCCUGAAAGGACAGUCAUUUCAGAGGUGUUUCAAGUUAUAUUUUGAUGAAAGAUUACGAAGACCAACAUUUUUUUCGGAUCAAUAUUGUGUAUCUAUUGUGAAAGUAUAUAAUUUUGAUUUCAUGUUGAUUUAAACAUUGUAUAUUACAAAUAUAACGGAUCAUGUAUGGAAUUUGCAUUUUGAGCUAUUUUGUUCAGUCCCAAGGUAUAAAAUGGAGAAAUGCAGAUCGGCAGCAAACCUUCAGAGCACCACAAAUCUCCACCACAUCUGCUUCCUGUACAACUGUGACCCGGAAUUGAUCUGUCUGCAACACACCCUGAAUUUGAUCCCUGCAGCCUUACAAACAUCAAAACAGACAUAUAUGUACAUAAAGUUAACACUUAUAAAAAACACAUAUACAAAAAAAGAUGGCUUAUUUUACCAUUUAAAAUUAAACUACCUGUAGAAAUUUAAUUGGAUUUAUUUAUUCUUUUUUAUAUAUUUUAUUUGGUCUUUGAUUUGGGCUCACCAAUGGUGGUCUCACAAAAUGUAUCAUCUGCCACCUCACUGGCAAUAUUUACUCCCAUCAACACACUCAUAUUGAUGCCGAGCUUCUCGUGAAUCACCUCGGAGAUAUGCUUCAGUCCGUCAGGUCCUUCAUCUACCCCCUAAACACACACACACACACAUGCUGAGUCAUGAUUUCUGCUAGGUGUUUCAAAUGUGAGUCUUGUGAUCUUAGAAUGCAUUUUUUUUUUAUUUUUUUUUUUUACGCAAGACGCCUGAGAAACUGAAAAAUUUGAACAUACAAAUUACUUUCGUACCCACACUGUAAAAAAAAAAAAAACAUUUCUGUUCAUCAGUAUUUUUGUCUUGUUUUCCAUCAACAUCCUUAAAACAAGAUAAAGCAAAAAUAUGUAAGAUAAUUAGACAUGUUUUCAGAGAAUAUAUCUUUAAUUACUGUAAGUUUACCCUAUUGUCAAAUCAGCUGUUCUUGUUUAAAAGGGAUAGUGAACAUUUUGUCAUCAUUUACUCACCCUCAUGCCAUUCCAGAUGUGUAUGAAUUUCUUUCUUCUGCAGAACACAAACCAAGAUUUUUAGAUUUCGAUUUUUAAUCCAUACGACUCUAGUGUUUUAAUCCAUUUCUUCAGGAGUGAAAUUAUAGGUGUCGGUGAGAAACAGAUCAAUAUUUAAGUCCUUUAUUAAGUCCUUUUUUAAAAUUCUUCUCUGUGCCCAGUAGGAGGCGAUAUGCAAGAAGAAUGUGAAUCACCAAAUACACAAGAAGAAGAAAGUAAAAGUUAAAGUUGAGAUUGACUGGGCAGGGAGGAAAAUUUAUAGUAAAAAAGGACUUAAAUAUUGGUCUGUUUCUCACCCACAUGUAUCAUAUUGCUUCUGAAGACAUGGAUUUAACCACUGGAGUCAUAUGGAUUACUUUUAUCCUGACUAAUGUGAUUUUUGGAGUUUCAAAAUUUUGCCACCCAUUCAUUUGCUUUGUGUGGACCAAAACAGCUGAGAAAUUCUAAAAAAUCUUCAUUUGAGUUCAGCAGAUGAAAGAAAGUCAUGCACAUCUGGGAUGCAUUAGGGUGAGUAAAUGAUGAGAGAAUUUUCAUUUUUGAAAAAAAAAUAAAUAAAUAAAAAAUAAUUAAUUAAACUAUUCCUUGAAGCAAUAACUAUUUAUUUAAGCAUAAACCUCUCAAAAUGUAGUUUGAUUUGUUUAAAAUUUGAAGAAAAAAAAAUGGGCUAAAUUCAAGAUAAAUUCUCUAAAAAGAAGUCUUAUUAUCUUACACAUGUUUAGAUAUUUUGCCUGGAAAGCAAGACAAAAUACAUCUUUAGUGUACCGAAUGUACUCAUGAGUAUACGGGACCUUGAUAAGUGACAUUCCAAGUGCAUCUUGCUUGAUUUUGCCCUUCAUUGUAUAACAAAUGCGACCGAUGAACUGAUGUGGAAUCACAAAGAGCAGAAUGUCAGCACUCUUGGCAGCUUCAACCAGAUCUGGCACGGCCACCUGUGAGUGAGAGACAAGGCCAAAGGGAGGAGAGGUUGCGAGUGGAAUGCACAGAAGGAAAAAACAGGAGGAAAAAAAUCUGUUUGACACUGAAUGAAUGAAUAGAAAUGAAAUGAAAUGAGAAAUGAAUAGAAACAAAUAAAACCCUGUAACAAUGGAAUACAAUAUAGUCACCAAUGCUUUAAGUGAUCUUAUAUGAUCAUGUCCAGUAGGAGUUGUGUAGCUGUUUGAUUGACAUUGGCUCUUUUUUUUUUUUGUUUGUUUGUUUUUUUUUGGCAGGAUUAUAACUCCAUGUCAAGCCAUAUGUCACCUUAUUCAUGGAUAAAUCUUCCUUCUGGUUUGGUUACUGUCAUUGUGUCUAUGUUUGUGUCUGUGCCAACAGUUUUAAAGGCCUCUAGUCCAGUCCCGGGAUUGUGCCUGGAUUUCUGAACCUAAUUCUAACCUAACCAUUUGGCUGACUCAACCAUUUGGUCUGCUGUUAUAAUCAGGUCAUUAUCAAGGAGAAACCACAGACAGCUUUGUCAGCAUCUUACUAGUUGCUUAAGAGUGCAAAUGGAGUGUUUCCUUUGCAAUACUCCAAUUGCUUCCCAGAGGUUUAUGGAGAAACGUUUGUGGCUCAGCAUUCUUUUUUCCGACUUCUGUAUUGUGUUAACUUCCUCCAUAGAAGAGCAUAUGGAGCAGUAGAACACUUUUGCUGGUGCCUAAGCCAUACACCAAUACAGUAUAUACAGUUUAUAAACAUUUUUGUUUUUCAAAUUGUGGCUGAUUCCCAUUAACUGAUAUUAGGACAUUACUGUAUGUCCAUUUGGUUAAAAGCGAAGUGUUAUUUCUGCGCCACUGGCAGCACCAAACAGAAUUGCAAAAAUAAUGACUGUAUUCAAACAGGUUUCCCGAGCACCGCGAUUGGUCAGAUAAACACACAGUCCCGUCCCAAAUUGGUUGAACCAGUCUUGCUGUUUUGGGCCACUCAAAAAAACAGAGCAAUGUUUUGAUAUAGCUUACUUAUAAUUGUCUUUGUAUAUUAACAGCCAAAAAAUUAACAACUUAAAAUAUAUUAUUUUCUUUAUUCUUAUUUUACUACCCUGUUAAUAUUAUAUUAUUAUAAUUAUUUGUUGAAAUUGUAAAAAAUAUAUUAUUUUCUUUAUUCUUAUUUUACUACCCUGUUAAUAUUAAAUUAUAUUAUUAUAAUUAUUUGUUGAAAUUGUAAAAAAAUAUAUUAUUUUCUUUAUUCUUAUUUUACUAACCUGUUGUUAUUAUUAUAUUAUAUUAUUAUAGUUAUUGUUGAAAAAUGUAUCAAUUAUAUUGAAAUAUAUUUUUCUUAUUUUCUUCUUAUUUUCUUAUUUUUUUGAAUUAUUUUGUUUAUUUUAGGUGAAACUGAAAGCAUCUGAAGGGGGGCUUUUUAUUAAUAGAAUUAUAUUAUUAACAAUUAAUAAUAUUAAUUAAAGAAUAAUAUUAUGUAAUAUGAUCAAUAUUAUGUUAUUAAAGUUUUAAAUGGGUACUAAUAAAAUAAUUUGUCAUACUUUCUCAAAGUGGGAUGGAUCUGGGCUCUACUGGUAAAAAUAUCACCUAUCAAAAACAAAAAACACACACUUACUGCUCCAACAAUAAUCACCUCCCAUCUUAUAUUGAAAAUAGGAAGGAUAAUUAUUUCAGACAUUUUACUUUGUUACAAUACAAAGUUUCUUACGACAUUCUCCGGAAGCUUGUGUCCAAGCAAGUACUUGACAUUCUCAUGGUCUGUGUUUAUGAUCUCUGUAAGUUUGCGUCCAUUCACUGUCUCUUCAAACACCCACAUGUUAACCGUAGAGUCAAACUUUGAGUUAUUCUUUGUAUUUGAGCCAACUAUCUUCGCAAUAGCAGAACCCCUGAGCACAUGAGAGAAAGACAACCAGAGAUAAUGAUGUGAAAGUUUACAUGCAAUAUUAAAUAUUGUGAGUGCACAUCAAUAUUGUAGUACUGUUUGGGGAAAUUGAUUAUUCU